This is a non-coding RNA of Pelobates cultripes (western spadefoot toad), 931 nucleotides long. Lineage: Eukaryota; Metazoa; Chordata; Amphibia; Anura; Pelobatidae. The record is from the annotation of a GenBank genome assembly.
GCAAACUUUAUUGUACCAAUGACUUCUCACGGCAAACAACUCCUUGGCCUCUGUGUUGUUUACGCGAGAAACAAUUAUUGGGUUUCUUUGUGUUACACGUAAUUUUAAGCAAGAUCGUAUACCAGCCUUAUUUAAAAAUGCAAUGCCAUGUGGGUAGAGCUUGGAAAAAUGGCAAGAGUAAGUCAAGUGAGGACAAGAAAGGUCACAGCUUGCGUAAAUGUGGGCAAAAGGAAAAUGGCAAUACUACAUCAUAUUUUCUUUGAAUCGGGGACUAAAACAGAUAUUUAACAUUAACAGCUGGAGACAACUUAAUCUUAAGGAUAUUCUCCAAAGUAAGAAUUUAGUUGUUAUAACCCUACAUGUUGGAUCCUUCUGCAAGGCUGUGAAGUAAUAGCCAAUCUAUAUUAAAGAUUUGCUGUCCUUUUUAAUCGCCUAAAAUUUACUUCCAACAUUCUGAAUACCUAUUGGGCUUGGACAGACGAGAACAAAGAAAAUGUAGUGUCUGUGCAGGGGGUCUCAGUGUACAGUCCAUUUUCAUGGAGAUUCCCUGAUUUUCUGUUACAGAGACCAACAAUCAAGAACUUUUGAGUAGUUAUAAAGAAAAUGAUAGUCCAGUACUUAUUUGAAUUUAGUGAUUAAGAUGGUUUAAGAACAGAUAAGAGGUUUAAACUUUAGCUGGCGUAGAGGUGACAAAAUCUGGACUUCUUUUCUUGCUAGUCGAUCUUCUACACAACAGACAAUACAAAGAAAAUACAUUCUGCCUUUAUACAAGAACAAUGGUCUUCAUCAAUUAAGAACAAUAGCAGUCAAAGGUUUCCAAGUCACAAGCACAAUGACAAUUUUAUUCAUUUUGUUUUCUUAAUAGUUUUUUUUUUAUAAAUGUCAACAAUAAAUUAGAAAAUAAUACUAAAUUAGAAAAUGUAUAUACAUU